Molecule: ribosomal RNA, 485 nt
Filed under: uncultured Treponema sp.
Lineage: Bacteria; Pseudomonadati; Spirochaetota; Spirochaetia; Treponematales; Treponemataceae
Description: partial 23S ribosomal RNA
Rfam family: Bacterial large subunit ribosomal RNA
Source: RNAcentral
GGUUUCCUAGGUAAAGGCAAUCUGCGUAGGGUAAGUCGGCCCCUAAGUUCAGGACGAAAGUCGUAGACGAUGGGAAAUUGGUUUAGAAUCCAAUACCUUAUAUAUUUUGAAGCACUGACGCAUGAAGUGAAAUCCGGCCGGGCGACCGUUGUCCCGGUCUAAACCGCGAGUUUAUGAAGAACUGGUUAAAAGAACAUCUGAGUGAGACUGCGGGCGAGCGGAAAGAAAGUUGAAGUGAAGCGGACGUAAUCAAGGUGCCGGGAAAUAGUGGCUAGGGAAGGUAUAUAAGACCGUACCGGAAACCGACACAGGUAGGAAGGAUGAGUAAUCUAAGGCGCACGAGCGACCUCGCGUUAAGGAACUCGGCAAAAUGCGCACGUAACUUCGGAAGAAGUGCGGCUCCUGUUUGAAAGAAUUGGGAGUGACACAAAGCAGGCCCAGGCGACUGUUUAUCAAAAACACAGCCAUCUGCAAAUCAGUAAUGA